CAAUAGCGGAGGAAAAGAACCAACAGGGAUUGCCUUAGUAACGGCGAGUGAAGCGGCAACAGCUCAAAUUUGAAAUCUGGCUCCCUUGGGGGCCCGAGUUGUAAUUUGUAGAGGAUGCUUCGGCGUGGGCCCCGGUCUAAGUUCCUUGGAACAGGACGUCACAGAGGGUGAGAAUCCCGUACGUGGCCGUGGGUGCUCGCCAUGUGAAGCUCCUUCGACGAGUCGAGUUGUUUGGGAAUGCAGCUCUAAAUGGGAGGUAAAUUUCUUCUAAAGCUAAAUACUGGCCAGAGACCGAUAGCGCACAAGUAGAGUGAUCGAAAGAUGAAAAGCACUUUGGAAAGAGAGUCAAAAAGUACGUGAAAUUGUUGAAAGGGAAGCGCUUGCAACCAGACCUGCCUGCGGUUGCUCAUCCGGGCUCUUGCCCGGUGCACUCUUCCGCAGUCAGGCCAGCAUCAGCUCUGGCGGUCGGAUAAAGGCGGCGGGAAUGUGGCUCCCCUCGGGGAGUGUUAUAGCCCGCCGUGCAAUGCGGCCAGCCGGGACUGAGGUCCGCGCUUCGGCUAGGAUGCUGGCGUAAUGGUUGUAAGCGGCCCGUCUUGAAACACGGACCAAGGAGUCUAACAUCUGUGCGAGUGUUUGGGUGUCAAGCCCAGGCGCGUAAUGAAAGUGAACGGAGGCGGGAACCUUCGGGUGCACCGUCGACCGAUCCUGAUGUCUUCGGAUGGAUUUGAGUAAGAGCAUAGCUGUUGGGACCCGAAAGAUGGUGAACUAUGCCUGAAUAGGGUGAAGCCAGAGGAAACUCUGGUGGAGGCUCGCAGCGGUUCUGACGUGCAAAUCGAUCGUCAAAUUUGGGCAUAGGGGCGAAAGACUAAUCGAACUAUCUAGUAGCUGGUUCUGCGA
This 897-nucleotide ribosomal RNA is filed under the name Rhytidhysteron tectonae. RNAcentral's name for it is "partial large subunit ribosomal RNA". It matches the Rfam family "Eukaryotic large subunit ribosomal RNA", at positions 44 to 964 of the family's 3401-position model. Lineage: Eukaryota; Fungi; Ascomycota; Dothideomycetes; Hysteriales; Hysteriaceae. The record is from RNAcentral.